UGGUGGAGCGAUUUGUCUGGUUAAUUCCGAUAACGAACGAGACUCUGGCCUAUUAAAUAGUUCGCCGAUUCCGAUCAGUCGGCGUUAACUUCUUAGAGGGACAAGUGGCUUUUAGCCACGCGAGAUUGAGCAAUAACA
This 138-nucleotide ribosomal RNA is filed under the name uncultured eukaryote. RNAcentral's name for it is "partial 18S ribosomal RNA". It matches the Rfam family "Eukaryotic small subunit ribosomal RNA", at positions 1299 to 1458 of the family's 1831-position model. The record is from RNAcentral.